GCAAGAUUUAAUAAAAAACAAACAAAAAUAGGAAUGGUUGCUUUCAACAUUUUCCAGGUUGUGAAAGGUUUUGACUGAUUUGGGGAAAGAAUGGUGAAAAAGAGCUUCUCAGUUCUCCUGAGGUGCUCGCUGACAACCACACCUGUGUGUCUGGGUGGGGCCGAGUCCGUCACACAGAGGUGACAUGUGAGCUGCUGUUUUCCAUUCAGAGCUACAGGAGUAAUGGGCUGGGAAAAACAGGUGUCCUGCUAGACAGUGGCUGUGAGGAUGUGUAGGCAGGAGCAGUGGCAGCCACCUGGGAGUCAGGAGCUUGCAGCACAAUGGUGCUGGCUGUGUGCGCGCCCGGCUCUGCCACAUGAGCGUGGAAGGCACCACCUGAACAUGGCUUUUGAGGUGCCUAGUCAUCCUAGUCAUUUACUGGGGCAGCUUCCUGAGUGGAAGGAACAUAAGGGCACAGGUAUCAUGGUAAACUUUUGAGUCUAAGGGAUGAUGCUUGACAGCCACACAUGGUGGGUGUGGCCUGCAGCUACAAAGGGUGGGGCCAGACAGCUGGGCCUCCACUCAGCCCACCACCACCUCCAGGGCCUGGCAUUUCGCCUUUGUGCUCCAGGACCUCAGGGGCGGGGAUGCAGGACAGUUCUGGGGAAAAUCUACUUGUAAAGGUCCUGGGGAAGGGGACAGGAGUGGCUGGAGGCUGUGCUCCGUGGGAAAGUUCUUCUCACCAGAGCACACAUCAAAUGCCAGUUCCAGAGAGGGACCCUCUGCCCAACUGUGCUCUCCUAGGGCAAUCAGGAGGAGACUGCCCUCCAACUGGGCCCUGGCUCUCCGGGGUGUUGCUGUGAGUACAAGGCUGUCCUCAGGCAGCUGCCUCAGAUUUGGGCUGGGACUGGGCCAGACGGGGUUCCCGGGGCAGGGGCAGGAAGGAGGCAAGGCUGGCAAGGGGAUUGGGGGCUGCUCUCAGGAACACGGAGAGGCCGCAUUAGGCAGGCAGAGAAGUGCUGGAAAGACUACGUGCUCCUCUCCCACCAGGGACCCUGGCGGCCCUCCUGCUAGUUCUCCUCCUGGUGGAGGACACUGGGGGAUGCCGAACAAGAGGCUAAGCCUGCGGCCCAGGCCCUGCUGAGACCACACCAUGGCUAGCAAGUAGAGGGACAGCAGCAUAUCCCCUCAAUUCUGCCUGCACGGUAGCUGAGCCAGACGUCCCCACACCCACCCCAUUAUCAAGGAAGAUC
This 1232-nucleotide non-coding RNA is filed under the name Pan troglodytes (chimpanzee). The record is from RNAcentral. Lineage: Eukaryota; Metazoa; Chordata; Mammalia; Primates; Hominidae.